AAGAUUCAAACCCUUUACACCUAUGGAGACUUCAUAGAACAUGGGUCUACAAGUGUUGCUGUGUCUUUUUUACUUUGGAGACAAAGAAUGACUUGAGGGAUGAAAAACAAGAGAAAAAAUGAGGAAACGAGGAUGUAAACCAGAACCCAGAGACUGGGGAAGAGAAAAACAAAGAAAAGAUUAUCUUCACAUGGAAUGUUGAAUAUUGAAUAAUUUAUCAUUACAUCAUACUCUGAUAAGGAAAAUGAAGCUCACUAAAAUAAUGUUCACAAAUUAAGAAAGACAUAGAUAUCUCUUCUUUCCAAAUAUGGUAUAAUAGAACCAUUUUCAACUGUGUCAUGGAAUUCACUUCAAAAGCCACUUGAAUCUGGAACAUUCAGUACUAUGUCAAAUAGGAAUGAAGAGAGUGGGCACUCUUGUUCCUUAUUAUAGAGCAAAUGCUUUCAGCCUUUUACCACUGACUUUGAUGUUAGCUGUGGGCCCAUCAUGUAUGGCUUUU
This is a long non-coding RNA of Lutra lutra (Eurasian river otter), 499 nucleotides long. RefSeq lists it as uncharacterized. The record is from RefSeq and is a predicted model, not a curated record. NCBI's taxonomy places the organism in Eukaryota, Metazoa, Chordata, Mammalia, Carnivora, Mustelidae. The transcript is spliced from 6 exons.